UCUCUUGCACCAAUGCGCACUCUUCAGAGUGCUCAUGAGAUGGAAGGAGAUACCACCAGGGUCCUUCUGUGGCUUACUUUUUAAGUCGCUGCAGGAAGGUGCAUGGACAGAAUUCCAUUUUCUCACAAUAGUGCAACCUUUACAAACUACCCCUGGCCAAGCUUUCCCAAGCCCUUCUGCCACACCCAUGUCCCUGUUGUAUAUUCUUCAUCACCAUGACUACAGUCUAUCAGAAUGAACAAGUAAAAUCAUUAUCGCUGUGUCUCAUCUGCAGGUAAAUGAAAUGGCCAAACUCAACCUAGCAUUUAGAUCCAAAAUAAAGGGUACAUUUCCAUUGUUUUCAGGGGGCAGAAUGGUACCUUCUGGUAUGAGAACAAGUAUAGUUAUUGUAGUAAUACAGAGACAUUAUUUAGGGCAGUGGUUCUCAACCUGUGGGUCAUGACCCCUGACAAACCUCUAUCUUCAAAAAAAAUAUUUACAUUAUGGUUCAUAAUAGUAGCAACAUUUCAGUUAUGAAAUAGCAAGAACAAUGAUUUUAUGGUUGGGGGAUUCAUCACAACACGAGGAACUGUAUUAAAGGGUCAUAGCAUUAGGAAGGUUGAAAGCCACUGGCCUAGGAAGAAAGUAAAGAAAAAUUCAAAUUAUUACAUUUUGGUCUUGUUGGAUGUUCCUUUCCCUCUAAAACCAAGUGGUGAUUCAAAAAAGAAUCAUCAAAGAACCUAUUAACGUAGCAAGAAUCUGACUUAAGCCUUGCCUUCUGUUCGUCUGUAUCAUUUCUGGUGGAGGAAAGGACCACCAACUCACAGGGGGUGGCUCUGACAUCCUGUCCCACUGUCCUAUCGCCUUUCUUAUUGACAGUGAUGUAAAGGAAGGAGAAAAUAAACUAGCAGAUCUUAGGCCCAGAAUCCUCAGUGGCAAAGAAAUGGUUCCAAUCAGAGAAGUAAAUAGCAAAGGAGAAAUGUUCAGUUCCUUCAAGGGGACAAAGCAACAAAGCGUGCAGGAACAUGUCUCCUGGAGGUUAGAAAGGUGCUGGCAAGCUUUUGUUUGGAAAUUCCUGUUGUGCCUAGAACAAUUUAAGCAUUAUGAAAAUUAGAGUGUGCUUCCCCCCUCUAAGGAUUUUGAGUCCAAUGGUAGAUGUUUUCAGAGUGUUAUCUGUUUGAAAUGUUUGGAUUUUUUUUUAAAUCCACUGACUUUGUGGACAGUGUGACCUCCAGAAUUCCAACUGAAUCUCUCCUGAUAUUCCAAUUCUGCCCACGUAGUCUCAUCCUGGAGCCAUGCUGAAUAACAACCUCUGCUCUAUAGCAUCUUGAGGACUGUUUCAUUUUGGUGAUGUACCACAAUGUGUUUACCUAUUUAUCCACUAAAAGCUUUAACUCGACACAGAUUGGGCCUAUUACAAAUAAAGCAACUGCAAGUAUUUUAAUAGUUUCCAGUGAAUAUGUUUUCACUUUCCUAGAGUACAUACCCAGGAAUGGAAUGGCAAGGUCAUAGGGCAACCUCUUUGCUGAUAAGUUACAGCUUAUGUUUUCAUUCUUGUUACAGUGAAAAAAAAAUAACUAGGCUAUAGUUUAACCUUAUCAGCUGCGGCUUGUGGAAAUAUUUUGCCUACCAUGGGUCACAAAGGUUUUCUCUUGUUUCUUUCCAAAAUUUUUAUGGUAUUCCAUUUUACUUUUAAAAUCGUGAUCCAUUUUGAGUUUCUUUAUGAAUAGAGGAGAAUUAAGUUGAGGGUUUUUGUUCUGUUUUUUUUUGUGUGUGUGUUUUUUUUUUUAAUAUGGAAUCUAGUUGUUUCAAGACCACUUGUUGUAAACUGAAUCCUUUCUCUGUUAAAUAGUUUUUCACUUUUGUCUAAUGGACCAUAUUUGUAUGCCCCGUACUGUUCUGUCCUUCUGCUCUGUUGAAAUAAAUAUUGACAUAAAUAUAUGCACAAAGCCUACUUUAUUGUUAUGUAGUAACAACAAACGAAUUUUAAAGUGCUAUUUAUGAUGAAAUAUACAAGUCAUAAAUAUAAUAAUAUAUAGGCUAUAUAUGUUGAAAAUUAGAAUAAUACAUGUAAUCUAUAAAUUUAACUCAGUUCCAACUAAAAGUCCAAAACGGUUUUGUAUAGAGACAAACAAGCUGGUUCUAGAAGCUGUAUAGUAAGGAAGAAGAAAUGGAAAAACCUUGGUGAAUUGUAAAAGGUGAUCUUAGAAGUAUCAUUCUACCCAAAUUGAAGAACUAUAGGAUCAUAGUAAUUAGAACAAUUAUAUAUAUGUAUAUAUAUAUAUAUAAUCUUACAUUUGACUAUUGUUUCUACAUAGCAAUAAAGUAGGUUCUUGUGACUUGGCCAUGUAUCAUGAAACAUUAUUAAACUCAAUUCCGUGAUUUCAAAAC
RNAcentral lists this long non-coding RNA (2370 nucleotides) under Mus musculus (house mouse). RNAcentral's name for it is "long non-coding RNA chr18:25106855-25109225". Lineage: Eukaryota; Metazoa; Chordata; Mammalia; Rodentia; Muridae. The record is from RNAcentral.